Molecule: microRNA, 22 nt
Filed under: Drosophila melanogaster (fruit fly)
Lineage: Eukaryota; Metazoa; Arthropoda; Insecta; Diptera; Drosophilidae
Description: dme-miR-9380-3p
Source: miRBase by way of RNAcentral
CCUCCAACAGAUCCAGCAGCAG